Long non-coding RNA from Amblyraja radiata (thorny skate), 1384 nucleotides. RefSeq lists it as uncharacterized. Lineage: Eukaryota; Metazoa; Chordata; Chondrichthyes; Rajiformes; Rajidae. The transcript has 3 exons. The record is from RefSeq and is a predicted model, not a curated record.
GCUGCAACACUUCAGCCCCACAUGCUGCUCCAUGAAAGCCGUGCCAUUGCCGCUCCGCCUGGAGCUGCCUCUGUAAUUUAUGGCUGACCCGUGACUGUGUUUGGCCACUGCCUGCACUCCAAGCCGACAGACAGUAUUUCGCUCUCCUUUUAACAGUUCCAUAAAUGUCCAGAGCACAUGGUGUGCUGCACAGCUCGAGCUUUAUAGUGCAGCACAGGCCAGCUUCAAAGCUGCGGGGUGUGUCACCUUCUUCAACCACACUUCAAGUGAAGGCACUCCCAUUGAACUAGUGGGUAUUCCAGGAUUUAAACCAGCUAUGAUGAACAACCAGCAAUAAUCAGCAUGGCGUGCGAGACCGACCAGAAUCUGCUGCUGGAGUGAACUCAGUGAAUCUAAAGAUAUCAGGAGAAGUGCAAGUGAUCCAGACCCCUGAUCCAGCUGCAAACCUGCCCACAUUCCUGAUUCCUGGUGUUCUGGACCACAACCCAGGUUCCUGCUGCACAAUAAUGAACAAAACUCUGGAAGGGACUGAACAGAAAACCCAACUGGUUUAAAUAAGCACUGGCCUAUCUAAUUAUAUUUGACUGAUGGCCCAUUUGUAUUGACAGAAAGGAACCUCUGAUGUCAAACUGCUCUGGUAAUCUAUUUCUGAUCUUCCACAGGCACUACUUACAUUUAGCUUUAAUCAAGGGAUGUGUUGGUUGAGUCACUGCAGAUAUCUUCAGCAAUCAAUAAUUAAUCACAAUAAUAGCAAAUUAUUAUGAUUGUAGAGUAGCCCAGAUUAUUUUAAGUUUUAUAAAAUGGAUUCAUAACCAGAAGAGAAAUACCCACAUGAGCUGAAGAAUUUUACUUUAAUUCAUUCAGACCGUGGGCAUCACUGUCUAGGCCAUCAUUUAUUGCUGUUCAAUUAGUGAAUGGCAUUUCCAUUAAAUGGUCUGGUGGGCCAUGUUAGGGGGCAGUUCUGAGCGUCUGGAGACAUGAAAGGCCAGGCUAGGUAAGGAUGGCAGAUAUCCUUCUCUAAAAGGCACGUUGAAUCACUUUCCUUUAUACAAAUAUCAGGUAGUUUCAUGGUCACCAUUAUUGACGAGAACUUUAUAAUUUCAGACUUAAUCAAUUAACUGUUUUUUACAUUCUUUAGAACUGAAUCAUUAAUCAAUGACAAUGGAAAACACCCAGAUAAAUAACGAAUUCUGAACUACUGUGUUAAAUGAGCUCAACGAGAGCUUGUGUCGGACCAAAGAAAACAAAUCAAUCAGGCUAGACAAAAAUGCUGGAGAAACUCAAUGGGUGAGGUAGCAUCUAUGUAGCGAAGGAAUAGGCAACGUUUCGGGUCGAGGCACUUCCUCACUGAUGUCGAGGGGGGGGGGGGGGGGCGGGAAAAAUA